Molecule: small RNA, 312 nt
Filed under: Cryptosporidium parvum
Lineage: Eukaryota; Apicomplexa; Conoidasida; Eucoccidiorida; Cryptosporidiidae
Source: RNAcentral
AUAUAUAUGUAUAUGUAUAUAUAUAUUUUUGGAACUUUGAAGAAUUAUGGUUAACAGUCUUAAUUUGGCUGUUUCUAACUAUAAAUUAAUAAAUUGUACUCCCUUGCAUGCAUUUGAACUAGCUCAAGGGGAUUCGGGAAAUUAUUUUAUGCUAUUUUAACACAGUUCUAUAAUUAGUCAUUGAUUUGGGAUUCAGAUGGGUAUUAAGAAAUAACCUUUCAUUCUUCCAGAGAGAAACUGGUUUGGAUGGCAUCUUUUUGAUUUAAUUAUUUGAUACUUAAAUUUUUGUUUUUCAUUCUGGAGUGAAUUAUG